AUAAUCGGCCACACCCUAACAUCUCCUACAUAGUUUUAUUGAUUUUUUCGCCUAUCUUGCUCGGCCCCCUAUCCCCUCUCUAAAAUUCGAAACCCUAAAAAAGGUUCUCUUCGAAAAUCUCCGUCUCGGAACAACCUGUCUUCACGCAGGAAAGUGAAAAGAUGAGUAGCCGUUCCAGCAGGACUCUUUACGUUGGAAAUCUUCCCGGUGAUGUUCGCGAGAGGGAAGUGGAAGAUUUGUUUUAUAAGUAUGGUCCCAUAGCUCAAAUUGACUUGAAGAUUCCACCAAGGCCUCCAGGUUAUGCAUUUGUUGAGUUUGAAGAAGCUCGAGAUGCUGAAGAUGCCAUUCGUGGUCGUGAUGGAUAUGACUUUGGAGGGCAUCGUUUACGGGUUGAACUUGCUCAUGGUGGUCGUGGGCGCUCUUCCAUAGAUCGUCACAGCAGUUAUAGUAGUGGGCGUGGACGUGGACCAUCCAGGCGUUCUGAAUAUCGCGUGCUAGUUACUGGAUUGCCAUCUUCUGCUUCAUGGCAGGACCUCAAGGAUCACAUGCGUCGAGCAGGAGAUGUUUGUUUUUCUCAAGUUUUCCGUGAUGGUAGUGGGACUACAGGGAUUGUGGACUACACCAACUAUGAUGAUAUGAAGUAUGCUAUUAAGAAACUCGAUGACUCUGAGUUUCGUAAUGCAUUUUCUCGGGCAUAUGUUCGGGUUAAGGAAUAUGAUUCUAGGCGGGAUUCCUCUAGAAGCCCUAGUCGUGGCCGAUCUCUCUCAAGAAGCCGAAGCCGAAGUAGAAGCCGAAGCAAAAGCCGUGGUCGGAGCUAUAGCCGAAGCAAGAGCCGCAGCAAGUCUCCAAAGGCAAAGCCUUCGCGCAAGUCACCUGAAAAGUCUAGAUCAAGGUCUCCUCGUUCCCGCUCUGCAUCAAGGUCUCGCUCUUUGUCAAGAUAUGGAUAUAUGCAGCAAACUGGGGAUUGGAUAUUGGGAUCUUGUGGGAAUAUGGUUCAAUUGCAUGCAAUCGUUUGGUUGCAGAGAUUGGGAACAAAGGAGACAAUGGACUGCAAUAAUAGAGCUGGAAUUCUUUACAAGGAAUUGCAAUAGUAGAGCUGGAUUUUAGUGAAGUAAAUGCUCUGGGAUUUGCAAGUCACCAUCAUUAUUUCCCUGUCAAUAUCAGCUCCAGAUUUUGCCAAGCUAAUAGGACAUGCUAUGUGGAUUACCUUGGAAUUGCAAUAAUAGGGGAGCAUGCUCAUUCUCUAUACCCUGGUGUUGAAAUGUGAAAAGCUAUUCUUUUAAGAAUUUCAUUUUGUUAGACUAGGUUUCUUUCCUUAGGCAGAUCUCCCUCAAGGUCCAGGUCUCCUUUGCCUUCUCGUCAAAAAGGAAGGAGCAAGAGUCCCAAAAGACGCAGUGUUAGCAGGAGUCCAAGUGGGAGCAGGAGCAGGAGCAGGAGCAGGAGCAAGAGUGUAUCCGGG
Molecule: RNA transcript, 1459 nt
Organism: Gossypium arboreum
Lineage: Eukaryota; Viridiplantae; Streptophyta; Magnoliopsida; Malvales; Malvaceae
Gene name: serine/arginine-rich-splicing factor SR34
Exons: 15
Source: RefSeq, a predicted model, not a curated record